UGCUGCGAGAUCUUGGCUGGAAUGUAAAAGGAAUAUCCAAAAUAUUUAAAUGACAAACAGGAUGGGAACUGAUUAUGAGGAAUAUGCUGAAACAGACAUCUGGCAUAUUCCUAUAAUCAGUAUCAUGGCCUUUGUAUACAACAAAAUUGAUUGGAACUCCUAGACUAGAAAUAUAAUUCAAGAUUUAAAUAAGGCACUGGUCAUAGUUUUAGAAAGUGUGGCUAGCAUUCUGAAGGAAGACAGAGAGAUGGGAAGACAUCAAAGAAUGGACAGGUCUGCCAUGAAAUGGUUUAUCCAGGGCUAAGUACAGAGAGGAAUAUAGAAGGGCUGUUGACAGAUCUUGUGUGGUGCCCCCAAGGUUCAACAGACUGAUUGAUAGGUAAUGGUAAGAAUUU
Biomphalaria glabrata is the source of this 395-nucleotide long non-coding RNA. RefSeq lists it as uncharacterized. Lineage: Eukaryota; Metazoa; Mollusca; Gastropoda; Planorbidae. The transcript has 3 exons. The record is from RefSeq and is a predicted model, not a curated record.